CAACACAAGAUAAAGUUCAUUCCAGAAAUGGUUGGUCCAAUAUUAGAAAUGACACUGAUACCUGAGAUGGAGCUGCGCAAAGCUACCCUCCCCAUCUUCUUUGAUAUGAUGCAGUUCGAAUUCCACUCCACCCGAAGCUUCCAGGUGGUAAGGACAUAGGUGUGCGUUUGCAAAUGAGAUCAUCACCAAGCUGGAUCAUGAAGUGGAAGGAGGCAGAGGAGAUGAGCAGUACAAGGUGUUAUUUGAGAAAAUCCUCUUGGAACACUGCAGGAAGCACAAAUACCUGGCCAAAACGGGAGAAACUUUUGUAAAACUUCUUGUGCGCCUGAUGGAAAGACUUCUGGAUUAUAGAACCAUCAUGCAUGAUGAGAACAAAGAAAACAGGAUGAGCUGUACUGUCAAUGUGCUGAAUUUCUACAAAGAAAUUGAAAGAGAAGAAAUGUGUAUAAGGUAUUUGUACAAGUUGUGUGACCUGCACAAAGAGUGUGAUAACUACACUGAAGCCAUUUACACUCUGCUUCUCCAUGCAAAGCUUCUGAAGUGGUCGGAGGAUGUGUGCAUGGCCCACCUCACCCAGCGGGAUGAGUACCAGGCAACAACUUAAGGGCAGCUGAAAGAACACCUCUACCAAGAAAUCAUCCACUACUUCGACAAAGGCAAGGAUCCUUCACAAGAGUUUCCACUGACAUGCCUACCGUGUGCCAGGCUCCAUCUGCACCCAGGAAAACAACACAGGGGUGGGGGAGACAGAAGCCUGCCUUUGGGAAUGCAGGUCUCCCACUAGGC
Molecule: non-coding RNA, 786 nt
Organism: Manis javanica (Malayan pangolin)
Lineage: Eukaryota; Metazoa; Chordata; Mammalia; Pholidota; Manidae
Source: RefSeq, a predicted model, not a curated record